GAUGAACGCUGGCGGCAGGCCUAACACAUGCAAGUCGAGCGGUAACAUUUCUAGCUUGCUAGAAGAUGACGAGCGGCGGACGGGUGAGUAAUGUAUAGUUAACCUGCCCUCUAGAGAGGAAUAACAGUUGGAAACGACUGCUAAUGCCUUAUAUGCCUUUAAGACAGAAGUCUGCAAGGGAAAUGCUUUAGUGCUAGAGGAUGGGACUGUAUGGUAUCAGUUAGUUGGUGGGUAAGUGGCUUACCAAGACAAUGACGCCUAACUGGUUUGUAGAGGAUGAUCAGUCACACUGGAACUGAGACACGGUCCAGACUCCUACGGGAGGCAGCAGUGGGGAAGUAAUUGCACAAUGGAGGGAAACUCUGAUGCAGCAACGCCGCGU
This 382-nucleotide ribosomal RNA is filed under the name uncultured Campylobacterota bacterium. Its description in RNAcentral is "bacterial SSU rRNA". It matches the Rfam family "Bacterial small subunit ribosomal RNA", at positions 28 to 402 of the family's 1533-position model. Lineage: Bacteria; Pseudomonadati; Campylobacterota. The record is from RNAcentral.